GAUGAACGCUGGCGGCGUGCCUAAUACAUGCAAGUCGAGCGAACGGACGAGAAGCUUGCUUCUCUGAUGUUAGCGGCGGACGGGUGAGUAACACGUGGAUAACCUACCUAUAAGACUGGGAUAACUUCGGGAAACCGGAGCUAAUACAGGAUAAUAUUUUGAACCGCAUGGUUCAAAAGUGAAAGACGGUCUUGCUGUCACUGAUAGAUGGAUCCGAGCUGCAUUAGCUAGUUGGUAAGGUAACGGCUUACCAAGGCAACGAUGCAUAGCCGACCUGAGAGGGUGAUCCGCCACACUGGAACUGGGACACGGUCCAGACUCCUACGGGAGGCAGCAGUAGGGAAUCUUCCGCAAUGGGCGAAAGCCUGACGGAGCAACGCCGCGUGAGUGAUGAAGGUCUUCGGAUCGUAAAACUCUGUUAUUAGGGAAGAACAUAUGUGUAAGUAACUGUGCACAUCUUGACGGUACCUAAUCAGAAAGCCACGGCUAACUACGUG
Molecule: ribosomal RNA, 497 nt
Filed under: uncultured bacterium
Lineage: Bacteria
Description: partial 16S ribosomal RNA
Rfam family: Bacterial small subunit ribosomal RNA
Source: RNAcentral